This 492-nucleotide ribosomal RNA is filed under the name uncultured bacterium. Its description in RNAcentral is "partial 16S ribosomal RNA". It matches the Rfam family "Bacterial small subunit ribosomal RNA", at positions 29 to 507 of the family's 1533-position model. The record is from RNAcentral.
AGUGAACGCUGGCGGUAGGCCUAACACAUGCCAGUCGAACGGCAGCACAGUAAGAGCUUGCUCUUACGGGUGGCGAGUGGCGGACGGGUGAGGAAUACAUCGGAAUCUACUUUUUCGUGGGGGAUAACGUAGGGAAACUUACGCUAAUACCGCAUACGACCUACGGGUGAAAGCAGGGGAUCGUCGGACCUUGCGCGAUUGAAUGAGCCGAUGUCGGAUUAGCUAGUUGGCGGGGUAAAGGCCCACCAAGGCGACGAUCCGUAGGUGGUCUGAGAGGAUGAUCAGCCACACUGGAACUGAGACACGGUCCAGACUCCUACGGGAGGCAGCAGUGGGGAAUAUUGGAAAAUGGGCGCAAGCCUGAUCCAGCCAUACCGCGUGGGUGAAGAAGGCCUUCGGGUUGUAAAGCCCUUUUGUUGGGAAAGAAAAGCAGCAGGUUAAUACCCCGCUGUUCUGACGGUACCCAAAGAAUAAGCACCGGCUAACUUCGUG